This 145-nucleotide small RNA is filed under the name Hoeflea sp. IMCC20628. RNAcentral describes it as "Alphaproteobacterial sRNA ar7". It matches the Rfam family "Alphaproteobacterial sRNA ar7". Lineage: Bacteria; Pseudomonadati; Pseudomonadota; Alphaproteobacteria; Hyphomicrobiales; Rhizobiaceae. The record is from Rfam by way of RNAcentral.
UACCGGCAAACGAAUAAGCCGCUGUCUGGAAUUUCGGCUCGUCCCCCGCCGUCUCCAGACGAUGGACUUGGACCCCCCGCCCCCUCAGUGGUCCUUGUCCGAAAAACGAGCCGUCAUGACCUUCCCCCGGUCGUGGCGGCUUUUC